Molecule: ribosomal RNA, 393 nt
Filed under: uncultured bacterium
Lineage: Bacteria
Description: partial 16S ribosomal RNA
Rfam family: Bacterial small subunit ribosomal RNA
Source: RNAcentral
AUACGGAGGAUCCGAGCGUUAUCCGGAUUUCUUGGGUUUAAAGGGAGCGUAGGUGGAUUGUUAAGUCAGCUGUGAAAGUUUGCGGCUCAACCGUAAGAUUGCAGUUGAAACUGGCAGUCUUGAGUCCAGUAGAGGUGGGCGGAAUUCGUGGGGUAGCGGUGGAAUGCUUAGAUAUCACGAAGAACUACGAUUGCGAAGGCAGCUCACUAGACUGUUACUGACACUGAUGCUCGAAAGUGUGGGUAUCAAACAGGAUUAGAUACCCUGGUAGUCCACACAGUAAACGAUGAAUACUAGCUGUUUGCGAUAUACAGUAAGCGGCCAAGCGAAAGCAUUAAGUAUUCCACCUGGGGAGUACGCCGGCAACGGUGAAACUCAAAUGAAUUGACGGGG